UAGAACAGGAACGAUAGAAAUUUUUUUUUUUUUUAAACCCCAGAAAGAAUAAAUUAAAACACGUAACAACAACAAAAUAACACAAGGUGGAGGAUUAGUGAAACUGGAGCACAAACUGUAUAGUUAAUGUGUUUCUCAUUGCACUAGCUUAAUACUUAGAAGCCAGCAGUAAAACACCAUAUCAACACUGACAAUGUGCUUCAGUGAGCAAAGCAGGCGCUGCACCUUUAAUUUAAAAAAAAAAAUAUUUGUUGGCCUCUAUUUCAGUGACAUUUCACAGUUGCACCAUGUUGAAGUAGACUCUGGCGUUCUGCAGUUGGUUGAAAACAGCAUCUGAACUUGUGUAUUUUGUUCAAGAGGAUAAAGAGACAUUAUACCAAACACUAUAGAGCACUAUAAAAACAUUUCUGAAAACAGAUACAGCAUAGCCGUGAUGCCAGCUAUUUUUUGACCAACAGUAUGCACUGAAGUGUGCACUUUGCAUCUGUGUUAUGUAAGAAGAAAAUGUAUAAGAUGAGAGUUUGUAACUGGUAGAUAUUCAAUAUUAAAUGACUUAGAUUGAAAUUAUGAGCAAAAAACAUUCAUAGAACAACAUACUGAUUGUAACUAUACAGUCACUUCAAUUAGUGUGUUAAUUAUUUAAUAGGCCACUCUUCUCUUAUACUACACCUACUCUUACGUCUUUGUUUGUGACAGUUAAUAUCUUGAAGACAACAGUAGAAGCAAAUGUAAUCAGAGGCAGAGGGUUGCAGUAUAUACCAUAACAGUAGAGACUACCACAUACUGAGGAAAACCAGCUAAUUGCUAUUUUUGGAUUUCCACGAAACCAAAACAACACCAUGAGUAGCUGUCUGGCCGGCUGCCCUGCCCUACAGCCUCUCCUCGCCAUCUGUGCCGGCUGGUAUUCUUCAGAAAUGCUGGGACACUCACUCGCAACACACAGGCAGAACAACACCCAUGUGUUUGCCAGACAUUUAGUAGCCUGUUUGACUUUGCUCUCUAAGCAGAAAAGGGAAAAAUCGUAUGCAAUAGUGUGCCUUCAUACUAAAAGUCCCUGAUCUUAGAAAGAGAAAACUGCUCAACAGUCACUGUGGCAAAGGAGAGCUCAGGGACUGAAUUUUACUGAGUUUUACUAAAGUGCCAACUGUUCCCCCCAAAAAUGUAUUCAACAUCAUAUACACAACUGAAUAUUUUUCACAUUUGUUCAUCUUCUAAGCAUGUUACAUAACUUGAAAUCUAGUAGUGAUGUGCGAUGUGAUGUGUUUCAGCUGUGUUUUUCACUCAUCUGUCUUACACACAACUGACAGAAUAGAUAUGAUUCUGUUUUGAUCAAUACAGCUGUAGGCCGCGCAAUGGCUUGCAUUUUGCUUUACAUGCAUUUUAAAAGUGAAACUACAGUCUUUGUGUACUUGAUGUGUACUACACAGCAAUACUUUCCCUGAACGCAUCCUGUAUAGACACUGAUGGAGGAUGUGCUGCUUUCACUACACCACCUGUGCAGAUAUGGUGUUAACCUACAGCGGUUAAAAGAAAUCUGCAUGGUGAUACGCCUCUGCUUGAAGUCGGGUGGUGCUAUACUAGCAAUUUUGUGAGGUCACCAGAUUCUGCGUACUAAUAAGAAUGAUAAAUGUAUACGCCCAUGGUUUGACCUUAACUUUUUGAGGCACUUACGUAAUGACAACUAAACACAUAAUAUGAGGUGAGGCAGGGAAAGACAGUAGGGUCUGUCAAGAGUAAAUUACAGAAACCUUAGAGAACAAAAGUAAAACUUUACAGCAGUAGUAAGCAAGUAGGGGCCCGUAGAUCAAAUCUGGCGAAAGCAGACAUUUUCCCUUUCAUUGUUGAAAUUAUUUACAUGAUUUUCCAUUAAUCUACCAUAGAUAAGAAUGUAAAUACAAGGCUUAUAAAUAAAUAUGACCUCAUAAGGUAACAUCUAACACUGCCCCAAUGUGCAGAGAGGCAGCAGGCUUUCUGAACAGUGCAUGGUGUAGAAAAUAAGUCUAAUAAACGUACCAGAUGAAUUACACAUAAAUAUAAUGUAGCCUAUUUGACUAGAACAGAUUUGUGUCAACAACAGUACUUUUAUCCAAACAUAAAUGAAGCAAGGUAUCAGCAACAGCUCAUUAUUGUGAAUUACAGUCAUUCUUACAGUGAUUAAAAAGUCAGUGGAGAGUUCUUUUUGUUCUUGGCGAACCACAGGAAGAGUUGACACAUGUGCAAUAAAUUUCUUCAGAUGCAUAUUUUGUGGUGGACACGAAUAUUCGUUCAUUGGAUAGGUAGGUAUUCAAUUUUCAAUUUGGGAUUCGGAUAUUCACACACACACCUACACCUCUGUCUCUUACUGCACACACACCAGCUUGCCCAGCCCCGCCUCUUUCUCUCUCGCUGUAUCACACAGGGACACUGUUGACUUUCUUUGUCAGCAGUAUGUUUUAUAAAGUCGCGCAAAGAACACAACUUGCGUUUUGGAUUUUUUCACUCACAGUUCUGUUGUCACAACAGCAGGUGAGGCACGUGUGGAGGAGGCUUGCUUUUAAUGACGUAGUCUAUCGAUAUGAUGGAAACCUACGUGGUACUGAAUGACUUCUGCACCAACCAGGUGCGUUCACUGUUAGUUUACCUGGUCCGUGCUUGUAAAAUAUCCACCGUGUGUGUCGGUGUAAUACCAGAGAACGUGUCUCUCUCUCUGUGUUUCUCUGCAGAGCAUGUGUGAUUGUCAGUAUACCUGUAUGGGAGGGGUAGCGUGAGGGGAGAUUGUCCACUAGUUAAUCGAUCGUGGAUGCCGUCGGUCUGACAGUAUUUUUAACACAAACAACAUGACAGAUGCGUUGUGUUUAGGUAACGUCCAACUUGGCUAGCAGUGUAGAUCUCAAAAUGUAUUUUUGGUCAAUGCGAGUGAUUAGCUAACGUUAUCGUUCUUCUUGGUGCCUUCCCUGGCCGGGCUACCGAGCCUGAAGGAACAUCGCUGCUACUGUCGUGAGGUAAAAUGUUUGAACAGCGAGCAGUUCCCACUCUGCGGGUCAAUCAAGGCAUUCUAAGUUGGACGUAUCAUGGGGGAAAAAUGCAUUUGUAUAAAAUCGGUAUACUGAAUGUAUUCAUUUAACUAAACAGCCAAGUAAUGACACCCAUAACGUGAAGACACAGAUUUUUUUUGUUUGUUUAUGACUUUAAACUUGUCCGGUGGGGCACCAAAAAUCCACUUGUCCCGGACAAGCCUUAAUGUCGAGCCCUGUACACUGUCCCGCCCUAACAGGUCCAACAAAAGUAAGAUAAGAGUCAUUGAGAUGUCAAUCAAACACAUCUUUACACUCCUACACAGUCAUGACAAAAAGGUCUAAUCAGGCACAGUAAGUAAAAACACCUGUGUGGAGUUUGUGCACCCUCACACCAACAGUCUGAAACAAAAAGUGUCUUGUGGUGUCAAUGGCACAGCAACUCAGUCCCUUCUUCUCAUUUCUCAGUUUGGACAUUCUCGACUCCUUUCCUCGCCUCCUCUCCUCACGUCUUAGUCCCUCUCACCUGAGAUGCAAGCGGAGGAGGCAAGGAGGAAACACGAGUUGAGGCAACAGGCAUUUAACAAAAUGAGAUAUCCUUGCUUCGCAGGUGUCAUUUUACAGCGACGUCAAUUAAAUAUGAUGUCUGGCACAGUUGUAUCAUCUGUCCAUUGUCACGCCUCUUUUAUACGUCACAGGUGCCAAAAAGACUUCCGCAAAGGAUACACCUUUGCAUUCUUGCUCAUUGCUCCUCUGGCAAGCCUCCUUUCUCCUCGCUCCUCGAGAUGCAUUUUAGGAAUUGAGACAUUCUUCAAGAUGGCGCACUGACAUCGGUCGAUUUUCCGGGUCACAGGCAGGAGGACGGAGGAGAGAGGAGACGAGGUGGCACAAAAUAGAGAAAUGACAAGAGCCCAGAGACUUCCAAAAUUUUGUGAACGAGGCUUAAGCCGUGGCAGUGAGCCAGCAUG
This is a long non-coding RNA of Siniperca chuatsi (mandarin fish), 3961 nucleotides long. RefSeq lists it as uncharacterized. The record is from RefSeq and is a predicted model, not a curated record. The transcript is spliced from 2 exons. NCBI's taxonomy places the organism in Eukaryota, Metazoa, Chordata, Actinopteri, Centrarchiformes, Sinipercidae.